CACCUGCUCUGUGAUAGGCAUCAGGCUAAGUACCAAUUUUUUUUUAAUUAAGUAUAUUUUUAACUUAUAUAUAAAAAACU
Molecule: small RNA, 80 nt
Filed under: Marmota monax (woodchuck)
Lineage: Eukaryota; Metazoa; Chordata; Mammalia; Rodentia; Sciuridae
Source: RNAcentral